Molecule: ribosomal RNA, 814 nt
Filed under: uncultured Chloroflexota bacterium
Lineage: Bacteria; Bacillati; Chloroflexota
Description: bacterial SSU rRNA
Rfam family: Bacterial small subunit ribosomal RNA
Source: RNAcentral
GGGAGGGGUUAUUCGAUACUGUUAAGCUAGAGGACAGCAGAGGGGGGUGGAAUUCCCGGUGUAGUGGUGAAAUGCGUAGAUAUCGGGAGGAACACCAGUGGCGAAGGCGGCUUCCUGGGCUGUUUCUGACGCUGAGGCUCGAAAGCGUGGGGAGCGAACAGGAUUAGAUACCCUGGUAGUCCACGCUGUUAACGAUGGACACUAGGUAUAGGGAGUAUCGACCCUCUCUGUGCCGAAACUAACGUGUUAAGUGUCCCGCCUGGGGAGUACGGCCGCAAGGCUAAAACUCAAAGGAAUUGACGGGGGCCCGCACAAGCAGCGGAGCGUGUGGUUUAAUUCGAUGCAACACGAAGAACCUUACCAAGGCUUGACAUGUCGGAAGUAGCGAACCGAAAGGAGAGCGAACUGUUAAGUCAGGAACCGUUACAGGUGCUGCAUGGUUGUCGUCAGCUCGUGCCGUGAGGUGUUGGGUUAAGUCCUGUAACGAGCGCAACCCCUGUUGUUAGUUGUCUUUUCUAGCAAGACUGCCCCGAGAAACGGGGAGGAAGGUGGGGAUGACGUCAAGUCAGCAUGGCUCUUACGCCUUGGGCUACACACACGCUACAAUGGAUGGUACAAAGGGCAGCAAUAGAGCAAUCUGGAGCCAAUCCUAAAAACCAUCCUCAGUUCGGGUUGCAGGCUGAAACUCGCCUGCAUGAAGUUGGAGUUGCUAGUAACUGCAGGUCAGCAUACUGCGGUGAAUACGUUCUCGGGCCUUGUACACACCGCCCGUCACGUCAUGAAAGUCGGCAACACCUGAAGUCGAUGGGCUAAC